This 508-nucleotide ribosomal RNA is filed under the name uncultured bacterium. RNAcentral's name for it is "partial 16S ribosomal RNA". It matches the Rfam family "Bacterial small subunit ribosomal RNA", at positions 30 to 523 of the family's 1533-position model. The record is from RNAcentral.
AUUGAACGCUGGCGGCAGGCCUAACACAUGCAAGUCGAGCGGCAGCGGGAAAGUAGCUUGCUACUUUUGCCGGCGAGCGGCGGACGGGUGAGUAAUGCCUGGGGAUCUGCCCAGUCGAGGGGGAUAACUACUGGAAACGGUAGCUAAUACCGCAUACGCCCUACGGGGGAAAGCAGGGGACCUUCGGGCCUUGCUCGAUUGGAUGAAGCCAGGUGGGAUUAGCUAGUUGGUGAGGUAAUGGCUCACCAAGGCGACGAUCCCUAGCUGGUCUGAGAGGAUGAUCAGCCACACUGGAACUGAGACACGGUCCAGACUCCUACGGGAGGCAGCAGUGGGGAAUAUUGCACAAUGGGGGAAACCCUGAUGCAGCCAUGCCGCGUGUGUGAAGAAGGCCUUCGGGUUGUAAAGCACUUUCAGCGAGGAGGAAAGGUUGGUAGCUAAUAACUGCCAGCUGUGACGUUACUCGCAGAAGAAGCACCGGCUAACUCCGUGCCAGCCGCCGCGGUAA